This 258-nucleotide ribosomal RNA is filed under the name uncultured bacterium. RNAcentral's name for it is "partial 16S ribosomal RNA". It matches the Rfam family "Bacterial small subunit ribosomal RNA", at positions 96 to 354 of the family's 1533-position model. The record is from RNAcentral.
UGGCGGACGGGUGAGUAACGCGUGGAAAACCUGCCGUAUACUGGGGGAUAACACUUAGAAAUAGGUGCUAAUACCGCAUAAGCGCACAGCUUCGCAUGAAGCGGUGUGAAAAACUCUGGUGGUAUACGAUGGUUCCGCGUCUGAUUAGCUAGUUGGUGGGGUAAUGGCCUACCAAGGCAACGAUCAGUAGCCGGCCUGAGAGGGUGAACGGCCACAUUGGGACUGUGACACGGCCCAAACCCCUACGGAAGGCAGCAG